GGCUCUUGUCCUGGUUUCAGCUGGGACAGAGUUGGUCUUCAUAGCAUAUGGUUUGAUGCUAUGUUUUGGCUUUAGGAGAAAAACAACAUUGCUAACACAUUGAUAUUUUAGUUGUUGCUGAGCAGUGCUGUAGAGAGACAAGGAUAUUUCAGUUUUUCAGCUUCUAGUACUGUUCUGCCAGCAUGGGGACCUGCGGAGCAUGAGGAGCUCAGAAGGGACAGAACCAGGACAGCUAGCUUACACUGGCCAAAAGGAUAUUCCAUAUUAUAUGACAUCAUACGAAAAAGAACUUCAAAAAUGGUGGGGACUUGGCUGGGGGAGCAGCUGCUGCUUGUAGACUGGCUGGACAUCAGUCCACAAGUGACCCCCUUUAAAGGCCACCAUCAGGUCUCCCUGGAGCCUUCUCUUCUCCAGACUGAUCAGCCCCAGCUUUCUCAGCCUCUCCUUGUAGGGAGGUGUUUCAUCUGGAUCAUUUUUUGGCUCUCUCCUGGAUGCUCUCCAACAGGUCCACAUCUCUCAUGUACUGAAGACUCCACAUCUUGACGUAGUUCUCCAGGUGAGGUCUCAUCAGCACAGAGCAGAGGGGCAGGAUCACCUCUUUCACCCUGCUAGCCAUGCUUCUUUUGAUGCAGCCCAGGAUAUGGUCGGCUUUCUGGGCUGCGAGAGCACAGUGUUGGCUCAUGUCCAUCUUGCCAUCCACCAGUAUCCCCAUGCCCUUUUCAACAGGCCUGUGCUCAAUCUUUUCAUCCUCCAGCUUGUAUUGAUAGUAUUGGUCACCCUGACCCAGAUGCAAGACCUUGCACUUGGCUUUGUUGAACCUCACGAGGCUCUCCUGGGCCCACUGAUCAGUCUGCGUAGGUCCUUCUGGAUGGUAUCGUGUCCCUCAGGUGUGUUGGCUGCACCACACAGAUUGGUAUCAAAAUAUUAGCUGUGAAAUCAUUUGGGCAUCUAUAAACUCAAAUGGUUUGGUAAAGGAUUGCCACCUCACUCUUCUAAGCAAUAAGGGCAAGCUUACUGCUGCACAGAAAGACAGAAAAAUAUCUGUGCAGCACUUAUGUCCCAUGGAAGGUCUCCAAAUUGGAUUUUACAUGAAGGUAUCUGUUAUAAAGACUCUGGAACAGAAUUCAGCAUGGAUGACUUUCCACUACACCCACAUAAACAAUACUAUUUUGCACAGAUACAAUGAGUAGAAGAAUAGUGCCUAAAAAAACAGUCAACUCUUCAAUACUUUUUAAAUUUGAAACAAAUGUGUAAAUUGUUUGGGAGGAAACAAAAGAAAUGGACCAAAACUUAUUUCACUCACUAGAAAUCAUGAACUACAAAUAUUCAUGUAUCACCCAAGAAAGUUUAUUUUUUCAGUGAGAAAGGGGAAAAAAAAAACAAAACAGUAGGCAACAUUUUAGGUUGCUUUCUCUCAUACACCUUCAAAGUCUGCAGGGUGGAAUCCUGAACACUGGUUGGUAGACUACAGUGAAAUGGCAGCCUUUGGGGAACCAACAGCACCCACAUCCAGUUAAUGUUAUUGUGUGAUCUAUUUCAUGGUUUGGAAUUAAUAGCAAUUGGGGCAUGGAAAAAAAAAGCUAAAGCCUGAAGUGGUUUUUCAAAUUCAUAAGGAAGUGUUUUUCUUUGAAUAAUAAUGUUAUUAUAAAGCUAUGAUUUUUUUUUUUUCUAUUUGAAAUAAACCCUUUAUUUUCUUUCAAAUUUCUGUUACUUGUGGCCAGAGGCUGUCUGGUACUCUCAUCUUGUGGGAUAUUGCUGGCUGGAAGCAAUAUCGUUUCUGUAAUUACCACUUUCACUAAAAUAGUUCUGGGCACUCCAGAAAUACCUUCAAGUAUUUGGUCAUGGGCAUUAAAAGCUAGAGGGACAGCUAAUAGCUCAUGGUUGUUCCUAAAUGGUAGAAAAGAGUAAGCUCAUUUGAGAACAACUUUCAAACAUCUCAGUAUGUCUCAGUUUUCCAGAACCAAGUGAAUUUGUCCUCUUGCCUGGGCAUAAUACAGAAUGGUGCUGACCUUUACUCCUUUGUAAAUUUGUAUGAUGAGAAUCAAAAACAGACAGGUGAAGAUUGCUAUUCCCUACUUUCCACCACAAAACUCUGCCUGGGGAGAGUCCUCAGGCUUUUUGUUCCUGAAUGAAGUUCCUUGCAUGCCACUCCUCCUCGCAGCUGUCUAAAGGUGAGGACUCCAGCCCCACAAGAAGAUUUUUGUCACAUUCCUGGAGAGGGGUGGAUACCUUCAGAGGGAGAUUUGGGCACCCUAAGGUGAGUAGUCAAGGCAAGUGGAUGAUUCUCAGGAAAUAACACAAAAGCCCAAUCUUCGCAAGAGAAACUAUUUUGAAUCAUGUGAUCCAGGUAUUAUCUAUGGCAAAGACUGCAUCCUCCAGAUUCUCAGUCUUUGAAAUUGCUUAUUCUGACACUUUAUCACAAAAUGUGGCCAAAAUUCAAGAUUGGGAAGCUUGCUCUUGGCUUCAGUAUCAUACAGAUUCAAUUACAUUUUUUUUCCACACUAAGCUGUAUCUCAAUAUGAUUUCCUUCAAUUAUGUAUUUCAAAUAAAUUGUUCUGUGUCCUCUGCAUCAUUCUUAGUCACCUUGACUGUCCCAGGAGAUACGUCCAAGAGUAAGAGGCAGUGCUGGACACACUCACAUGCACAUUGGCCAGCUGUAGACACUGGCCACUUCAUUAGCUGGAUGAUGUCAAACAGAGCUGUGUAGGGUGAGUCUUCUUUGCUUUCCCACAAGAGGACAUGCAAGUUUGGGUUCCUCUUUCCUUCUCACAUGCUGAUUUUCAUUAAGUCUAUGGAAAUGCAAUUAUCUUUGAGGCUCCCAUCCCCUUUCAAUUUUGGUGGAAAUAAGCUUAACAGUUACUGGAAAGGCUAAACAGAUAGGCAGAUAUCAGCAGACACAAUUCACACAUCCCUACUAAACCACACUAAAAAGACCUAUUUGCCAUUUACUGAACACCAGGAAAGAGCAUAACACUGGAAAACAGAGAGAAGAAACCACAGCAACCACCGAAGAGCUUCACACUUACAGCUGGAACGCUCAUAGCAGCCACUUCCCAGAGAUGAUUCAGGUCUCAGGGUCCUGACCAGCACAAAGAACAGCAGUGGAGACAGAGGAAGAUCAUGUGGUAACAACAAAAGCAUUAAAGACUGAAAGUCCUUCAGCUGGAUCCUUAAGACAAAUCUGGAAAUCUUGACUUUUUGCUGAUGAAUGGAGCCAAUGGUAGAAAUGCUUACUAUUAGAAAUAACAAUAAUUCUUUGCUGAAGUGGUGACCCUGUAGCCUUACAUUAUUAGGAUGGUGGACACUGAUGAGAUAAGCAGUGGGUCACUUCUGUUUUGCUCUAGACACAUUUGGCCACCAUCAGCAAUAGAUGUAUAAGGACUGGCAUUCAGCCAUAUAUUUCUCAAGCAAGAUGCUUGAAAUUAUCCCUGUUUUAAACAGGAGAUAUUUCUUCAUUGGAUAAAAGAAAUCACUGUUCACCUGGGUAUUUCCUUAAGGUCAGUGUAUGGCCAUUUUCCAUCUCUGGUUUUGAGGAUCAGCCCUGGGAAUAGUCAGCAGAUAUGAGUCUCCUUCCAGCCAUCUCCUAGCUGCACAUAGUACAUAAAAUGUGUGUCACAAGCAAAAGUAUAUUUCCUAAUUCCAGCCUUGCUGGAUCCAAAAAGAAGACAUAAAUAUUUUGACAGUUCUAAUCUGUAAAUGUGUGUCUUUUUGUCUUUGUCUCAAGAAAAGGCCACCCUCUCAUGAAGUUUGCAAAUUCUUGUUUUCCAUGAUUGCAGGAAACACUGACAUCUUCCCAAGCACAGCAUUUUGGGUGUCUCAAUUUUUCAGGCUGUUGACCAGCAGUGUUCUUCUGCAGUUGUUCAUUUAAGAGCCCUUCAUCUUGCAAAUCAUGUUCAGGAAGCUUAAUUCAAGUCCUUCCUUGCCUAAAGUGGUAAUGUAACAAUUAACCAAUCAGUAUUAAUUUCUAGAUGGUGCCAAGGCACGAAAGGAAAUAGUGGGGAAGUGCAUGCCAUGAAUCAAGACUGUGCAUCUCAUUCUUUGAGAUGAUGUUCAGCAAAGGGCAACUAAGAGAUUAAUAAAAAAGGCUAAGAGCACAUUUUUUCUCCUAGUUGGAAGUAUUCAUUGCUCUUUAAAGAAUAAUAACAACAAUAAUAAACAUUCAGCAUUCUGCAUGAAAUUGCAUAGGUGCCACAGAGGUCUGAUUUGCUUCUCCUAUAACCUGUUCAUUAUUAAAUCCUUAAACAGGAUGUAAUUAGGACUAGAUCUCACAGGACUAGAAGAUAUUCUAACAGGAAUAUGCUUUUAUAUAUAUAUAUAUAUGCGUAUAUAUAUAUAUAUAUAUUUCAUCUGUAACUACCACGAGAGAUGUCAAUGUCCAUCAGGGAAAUCAAGGAAACGUCGUGUAACUUGGAGAGGACUACAUGUGAUAACACUGAAGAAUGAUCAGAGAGUAAACUGUGAAACCACUAUGGUGUCUGUUGAGGAAAACCUACAAGCUGUCAAGAAAGCUCUGGACGUUUUGUGAUACAAUCUAUCAAUUAUCCCAGCUGAAUGCCGGUGUUUAUAGAGGGCAUUUUUUGUUGUUGUUGUAAUUCCAUGCCAUCUCAGGCUUACAGUAAGCCACCUGGCCAGCAUGAAUGUGCAGGUUAAUUUCAGGAUCAUAUAUUAUUCUGUAUAAUAAAAACAAGUUGUCUGGUUGUUUUUAGUGAAUUUGUCUAAGCCCGUUCCCAUGGGCUCCCCACCUCCCAGGGAGAAGUUGUAGUCUGCUCUGUUUCAUCAUCGCUUUUGUGGCAUUUCCUACCGAGAUGAGUGGCACCGAGACAGUUUCCAGACGUGGUUAUUUGUUCUCUUUGACCUGAGUGACUGCUGUUUUCUAAGCCGUUUGCAGUGUCAGUCCUAUGAUUUGACACUUAGACUUCUCCAGUUGGGGAUUAAAAUGCUGCAUCUUUCUUUCAGGCUCCUUAUUAAUUUUCUGGAGGCACUUACAAUGAAACUAUUCCAAGGGUCUUUUCAUUCAAAUGCCUUCCUGCUGCAAAUCAGACCAGUUUCACCUAUUUCACAUAACUCUAUGGGCUACUUUACAACAAGCUAAAAACCUUCCAGGUUUUCCAGACCUCCAGCCCCAAUUAUGUACAAAGUGCUUAACAAUAAUCACUACUUUAGGUUUGUCUUUCCCCCCAAUACCUAAGGAAGAAUUUACAG
Long non-coding RNA from Gallus gallus (chicken), 5202 nucleotides. RefSeq lists it as uncharacterized. NCBI's taxonomy places the organism in Eukaryota, Metazoa, Chordata, Aves, Galliformes, Phasianidae. The transcript has 3 exons. The record is from RefSeq and is a predicted model, not a curated record.